RNAcentral lists this ribosomal RNA (425 nucleotides) under uncultured bacterium. Its description in RNAcentral is "partial 16S ribosomal RNA". It matches the Rfam family "Bacterial small subunit ribosomal RNA", at positions 354 to 796 of the family's 1533-position model. The record is from RNAcentral.
GUGGGGAAUCUUGCGCAAUGGGCGAAAGCCUGACGCAGCCAUGCCGCGUGAAUGAUGAAGGUCUUAGGAUUGUAAAAUUCUUUCACCGGGGACGAUAAUGACGGUACCCGGAGAAGAAGCUCCGGCUAACUUCGUGCCAGCAGCCGCGGUAAUACGAAGGGGGCUAGCGUUGCUCGGAAUUACUGGGCGUAAAGGGCGCGUAGGCGGACAGCUUAGUCAGAGGUGAAAGCCCAGGGCUCAACCUUGGAAUUGCCUUUGAUACUGGGUGUCUUGAGUUUGGGAGAGGUGAGUGGAACUCCGAGUGUAGAGGUGAAAUUCGUAGAUAUUCGGAAGAACACCAGUGGCGAAGGCGACUCACUGGCCCAAUACUGACGCUGAGGCGCGAAAGCGUGGGGAGCAAACAGGAUUAGAAACCCCAGUAGUCC